This 465-nucleotide ribosomal RNA is filed under the name uncultured Phycisphaerae bacterium. Its description in RNAcentral is "bacterial SSU rRNA". It matches the Rfam family "Bacterial small subunit ribosomal RNA", at positions 9 to 521 of the family's 1533-position model. The record is from RNAcentral. Lineage: Bacteria; Pseudomonadati; Planctomycetota; Phycisphaerae.
GAGUUUGAUCAUGGCUCAGAUUGAACGCUGGCGGCGUGGCUAAAGCAUGCAAGUCGAGCGAACCCGCAAGGGUGAGCGGCGAAAGGGUUAGUAACACGAUCGAACGUGCCCCGAGGCGGGGGAUAGCGGCGGGAAACUGCCGGUAAUACCCCAUGAUCUCUCCGGAGCAAAGGUUUACCACCUUGGGAUCGGCGAUCGUCCUAUCAGCUAGUUGGCGGGGUAACGGCCCACCAAGGCGAUGACGGGUAGCGGGUGUGAGAGCACGGCCCGCAACAUCGGGACUGAGACACUGCCCGGACUCCUACGGGAGGCUGCAGCGGCGAAUCUUCCGCAAUGGGCGCAAGCCUGACGGAGCGACGCCGCGUGUGGGAUGAAGCGCCUUCGGCGUGUAAACCACUGUCAAGGGUAGAACCAACGAUCACCCCUAAAGGAAGAGACGGCUAACUCUGUGCCAGCCGCCGCGGU